UAGAAUACGGGUAGGUUGUUCCGUAUAAUCUUUCUAAUAUGGUGAAAGAGUUUCUACACAGAUGCCGUAAAUAUCUGUACUACUAAGAGAUAAAAAAUCUCU
This 102-nucleotide non-coding RNA is filed under the name Oceanivirga miroungae. Its description in RNAcentral is "Purine riboswitch aptamer". It matches the Rfam family "Purine riboswitch aptamer". Rfam says of the family: Riboswitches are metabolite binding domains within certain messenger RNAs that serve as precision sensors for their corresponding targets. Allosteric rearrangement of mRNA structure is mediated by ligand binding, and this results in modulation of gene expression. A class of riboswitches that selectively recognises guanine and becomes saturated at concentrations as low as 5 nM. Lineage: Bacteria; Fusobacteriati; Fusobacteriota; Fusobacteriia; Fusobacteriales; Leptotrichiaceae. The record is from Rfam by way of RNAcentral.